GGGGAAUCUGGAAAGUAAAUACAACCAAAAUUUUAAUCACAAAAUGAUACUGAAUUGGCUUCAAUGGUCCAUCUAGUGCUUCUUUCUCUAGAUAUCUUCCUUUAGCAGAUAAUUGUUAGAAGAUGGUUAGCAUUGCUGAAUUGAUAUGAAAUGGAAGUUGAAGAAACUUAGAUUGUGAAUUAUUUAUGUUAGUGAUCUUCU
RNAcentral lists this unclassified non-coding RNA (201 nucleotides) under Hevea brasiliensis (rubber tree). The record is from RNAcentral. Lineage: Eukaryota; Viridiplantae; Streptophyta; Magnoliopsida; Malpighiales; Euphorbiaceae.